Molecule: ribosomal RNA, 253 nt
Filed under: uncultured bacterium
Lineage: Bacteria
Description: partial 16S ribosomal RNA
Rfam family: Bacterial small subunit ribosomal RNA
Source: RNAcentral
UACGAAGGGGGCUAGCGUUGCUCGGAAUCACUGGGCGUAAAGCGCGCGUAGGCGGAUCCUUAAGUCGGGGGUGAAAUCCUGGAGCUCAACUCCAGAACUGCCUUCGAUACUGAGGAUCUCGAGUCCGGGAGAGGUGAGUGGAACUGCGAGUGUAGAGGUGAAAUUCGUAGAUAUUCGCAAGAACACCAGUGGCGAAGGCGGCUCACUGGCCCGGUACUGACGCUGAGGUGCGAAAGCGUGGGGAGCAAACAGG